CCCUAGUAACGGCGAGUGAAGCGGCAACAGCUCAAAUUUGAAAUCUGGCGUCUUUGGCGUCCGAGUUGUAAUUUGCAGAGGGCGCUUUGGCAUUGGCAGCGGUCCAAGUUCCUUGGAACAGGACGUCACAGAGGGUGAGAAUCCCGUACGUGGUCGCUAGCCUUUACCGUGUAAAGCCCCUUCGACGAGUCGAGUUGUUUGGGAAUGCAGCUCUAAAUGGGAGGUAAAUUUCUUCUAAAGCUAAAUACUGGCCAGAGACCGAUAGCGCACAAGUAGAGUGAUCGAAAGAUGAAAAGCACUUUGGAAAGAGAGUUAAAAAGCACGUGAAAUUGUUGAAAGGGAAGCGCUUGCAGCCAGACUUGCCUGUAGUUGCUCAUCCGGGUUUUUACCCGGUGCACUCUUCUACGGGCAGGCCAGCAUCAGUUUGGGCGGUUGGAUAAAGGUCUCUGUCACGUACCUCCUCUCGGGGAGAUCUUAUAGGGGAGACGACAUGCAACCAGCCUGGACUGAGGUCCGCGCAUCUGCUAGGAUGCUGGCGUAAUGGCUGUAAGCGGCCCGUCUUGAAACACGGACCAAGGAGUCUAACAUCUAUGCGAGUGUUUGGGUGUCAAGCCCGAGCGCGUAAUGAAAGUGAACGGAGGUGGGAACCUUUCGGGGUGCACCAUCGACCGAUCCUGAUGUCUUCGGAUGGAUUUGAGUAAGAGCAUAGCUGUUGGGACCCGAAAGAUGGUGAACUAUGCUUGAAUAGGGUGAAGCCAGAGGAAACUCUGGUGGAGGCUCGCAGCGGUUCUGACGUGCAAAUCGAUCGUCAAAUUUGGGCAUAGGGGCGAAAGACUAAUCGAACUAUCUAGUAGCUGGUUCCUGCCGAAGUUUCCCUCAGGAUAGCAGUAACGUUUUCAGUUUUAUGAGGUAAAGCGAAUGAUUAGAGGCCUGGGGGUUGAAACAACCUU
RNAcentral lists this ribosomal RNA (950 nucleotides) under Epicoccum nigrum. RNAcentral describes it as "eukaryotic LSU rRNA". It matches the Rfam family "Eukaryotic large subunit ribosomal RNA", at positions 78 to 1048 of the family's 3401-position model. The record is from RNAcentral. Lineage: Eukaryota; Fungi; Ascomycota; Dothideomycetes; Pleosporales; Didymellaceae. RNAcentral also lists the same sequence under 1 other name.